This 1129-nucleotide long non-coding RNA is filed under the name Manacus vitellinus (golden-collared manakin). RNAcentral's name for it is "lncRNA (ENSMVIG00005000391.1)". Lineage: Eukaryota; Metazoa; Chordata; Aves; Passeriformes; Pipridae. The record is from RNAcentral.
GGGGGGUUUCCCCUCCAUCCCGGGGGCUCCCCCAUUCCCGAGGCAUUCCAAAACAUCGUGAGGGGAUCCCCUCCAUCCCAAGGGCUUCCCCCAUUCUCAAAUCAUUCCCCUCCAUCCCAAAUCAUUCCCCUCCAUCCCGAGUUGUUCCCCUCCAUCCUGGGGGCUUCCCCCAUUCCCGAAUCAUUCCCCUCCAUCCCAAGGUGUUCCCCUCCAUCCCAAAUAGUUCCCCUCCAUCCUAAAGCAUUCCCAUCCAUCCCAAAUCAUUCCCCUUCAUCCCAAAGUGUUCCCCUCCAUCCCAAGGGCUCCCCUCCAUCCCUGGGGGUUCCCCCAUUCCCGAAUCAUUCCCAUCCAUCCCAAGGUGUUCCCCUCCAUCCCGAGUCGUUCCCCUCCAUCCCAAGGGCUCCCCUCCAUCCCAAGUCAUCCCCCUCCAUCCCAAAUCCUUCCCCUCCAUCCCAAGGUGUUCCCCUCCAUCCCGAGUCAUUCCCCUCCAUCCCAAAUUGUUCCCCUCCAUCCCUGGGGGGUUCCUCCAUUCCCGAAUCAUUCCCAUCCAUCCCAAGGUGUUCCCCUCCAUCCCGAGUCAUCCCCCUCCAUCCCAAGGGCUCCCGUCCACCCCAAAUCAUUCCCCUCCAUCCCGAGUCGUUCCCCUCCAUCCCUGGGGGAUUCCCCCAUUCCCAAAUCAUUCCCCUCCAUCCCAAGGGCUCCCCUCCAUCCCAAGGGCUCCCCUCCAUCCCAAAUCCUUCCCCUCCAUCCCAAAUCAUUCCCCUUCAUCCCAAAUCAUUCCCCUCCAUCCCAAAUCAUUCCCCUCCAUCCUGAGUCAUUCCCCUCCAUCCCGGGGGGGUUCCCCCGUUCCCAAAUCCUCCCCCCCGUCCCCGGGGCUGACUCACAGGCUCACUGCCUGCUGGAUGACCUUCAUCCAGUGGUUCCUGUCGUCCCGGGAGGCCGCGUGCACCUCGUACAUCUCCGGGGGGGCCGCGCUGAGCAGGAACAUGCCCUUCUCCUGGUUGGCGAUGUCCCGCACCAGCAGGUUUUGCAGGGAGAUCACGGCCGGCUUGUCCUGUGGGAACGGCGGGAAAAGGGCUGGGAAUGCGGCCCUGGAAGGGCUGGGAUGGGGGGGAGUUGUUGGGUGGGA